CAAAUCUUGACAUCCUUUGACAACUCUAGAGAUAGAGCCUUCCCCUUCGGGGGACAAAGGGACAGGUGGUGCAUGGUUGUCGUCAGCUCGUGUCGGGAGAUGUUGGGUUAAGUCCCGCAACGAGCGCAACCCUUAAGCUUAGUUGCCAUCAUUAAGUUGGGCACUCUAAGUUGAUUGCCGGUGACAAACCGGAGGAAGGUGGGGAUGACGUCAAAUCAUCAUGCCCCUUAUGAUUUGGGCUACACACGUGCUACAAUGGACAAUACAAAGGGCAGCGAAACCGCGAGGUCAAGCAAAUCCCAUAAAGUUGUUCUCAGUUCGGAUUGUAGUCUGCAACUCGACUACAUGAAGCUGGAAUCGCUAGUAAUCGUAGAUCAGCAUGCUACGGUGAAUACGUUCCCGGGUCUUGUACACACCGCCCGUCACACCACGAGAGUUUGUAACACCCGAAGCCGGUGGAGUAACCUUUUAGGAGCUAGCCGUCGAAGGUGGGACAAAUGAUUGGGGUGAAGUCGUAACAAGGUAGCCGUAUCGGAAGGUGCGGCUGGAUCACCUCCUUUCUAAGGA
RNAcentral lists this ribosomal RNA (567 nucleotides) under Staphylococcus aureus. RNAcentral's name for it is "bacterial SSU rRNA". It matches the Rfam family "Bacterial small subunit ribosomal RNA", at positions 975 to 1533 of the family's 1533-position model. The record is from RNAcentral. Lineage: Bacteria; Bacillati; Bacillota; Bacilli; Caryophanales; Staphylococcaceae.